ACGCUCGACACCUACGGGCAGCAGUGGGGAAUAUUGCACAAUGGGGGAAACCCUGAUGCAGCAACGCCGCGUGAAGGAAGACGGUUUUCGGAUUGUAAACUUCUGUUCUUAGUGAAGAUAGUGACGGUAGCUAAGGAGCAAGCCACGGCUAACUACGUGCCAGCAGCCGCGGUAAUCUGAGCGGGCUGGCAAGGC
This 195-nucleotide ribosomal RNA is filed under the name uncultured bacterium. RNAcentral's name for it is "partial 16S ribosomal RNA". It matches the Rfam family "Bacterial small subunit ribosomal RNA", at positions 326 to 539 of the family's 1533-position model. The record is from RNAcentral.